CCAAUAGCGUAUAUUAAAGUUGUUGCAGUUAAAAAGCUCGUAGUUGAACCUCGGGGUCUACCCAUUGGUCAGGCUUAAUUGUCUGCACUGGUGAGAUGGAUCUCUACCUUCUGAGGAACUUUCAUGCCAUUUAUUUGGUGUGAUGGGAAAUCAGGACUGUUACUUUGAAAAAAUUAGAGUGUUUAAAGCAGACUAUCGUCUGAAUACAUUAGCAUGGAAUAAUGAAAUAGGACGGACUGAUUCUAUUUCGUUGGUUUCUAGGAUCACCGUAAUGAUUAAUAGGGAUAGUUGGGGGCAUUAGUAUUCAAUUGUCAGAGGUGAAAUUCUUGGAUUUAUUGAAGACUAACUACUGCGAAAGCAUUUGCCAAGGAUGUUUUCAUUAAUCAAGAACGAAAGUUAGGGGAUCGAAGACGAUCAGAUACCGUCGUAGUCUUAACCAUAAACUAUGCCGACUAGGGAUCGGAUGAUGUUAUUUUUGAUGACUCAUUCGGCGCCUUACG
RNAcentral lists this ribosomal RNA (500 nucleotides) under uncultured Glomeromycotina. Its description in RNAcentral is "partial small subunit ribosomal RNA". It matches the Rfam family "Eukaryotic small subunit ribosomal RNA", at positions 591 to 1092 of the family's 1831-position model. The record is from RNAcentral. Lineage: Eukaryota; Fungi; Glomeromycota.